UGCUCAUUUUGGCAGCACCUAAACUAAAACGGAAUGAUACAGAGAUUAGCAUGGCCCCAGAACAAGUAUGACAUUUAAAUCUGUAACGUGUUCCAUAUUUUU
This 102-nucleotide small nuclear RNA is filed under the name Bos grunniens (domestic yak). The record is from RNAcentral. Lineage: Eukaryota; Metazoa; Chordata; Mammalia; Artiodactyla; Bovidae.